GGAAGUCUGAGGUUCCAGGCUUCUCUCCCCUUCCUGUGUGUGCCUGCUCCUGACAUGGCUCUUAGCAAGUGAGAGGAAGUGAGCUGAACUCACUUCCUUCCAGCAGGCCGCAGGGGGAAGCCAACACUGUGAAUGCGGUCCAAAAUCGUGGGCUAUGUGGCCCGCAGGCCAUAUGUUUGGGAACCCUGCUCAACACCUUUUACUGUAAGAUACCC
Non-coding RNA from Pelobates cultripes (western spadefoot toad), 215 nucleotides. The record is from the annotation of a GenBank genome assembly. Lineage: Eukaryota; Metazoa; Chordata; Amphibia; Anura; Pelobatidae.